RNAcentral lists this long non-coding RNA (500 nucleotides) under Cottoperca gobio. RNAcentral describes it as "lncRNA (ENSCGOG00000002210.1)". The record is from RNAcentral. Lineage: Eukaryota; Metazoa; Chordata; Actinopteri; Perciformes; Bovichtidae.
CCGCUUUUAUUUUGAAGACUGGACAUUUCCUGUCUCGUCUUGCCGAACUUCGGCUGACUUGACGCAGCUUGCGAAGCCGUGGCCGCAUCGCAGAGAAGUGAAGUUGAGCAUCCUGCAGUCAUUCACAAUCGGAGGACAACACCACCUGCUACCAGAUCUUCCUGUUGAGAAGACAGAAGAAUCCUAUCAGCUGAGUCAACUGAGCGUCAGACUGUGUGGCAGCAAAGACUGGCUGAGUGCUUCAUGAUGGGAUACUUUCGGUCAGCAUGGCAGAGGACUUCCUCCACAGCACAUGACAUAUCACGGCUGCAUUUUUUGAUGCCGCCGUUCUACAUUUGAUGGCAUCAUUGUGUGCUCAAGCGAUAAAGUUUAAGUGAAAAUUAUGAAGUCAACUAAAGUGGAUGUAAUUUGAUAGAAUUCACUCACAUUAAACUUAUUAUCCAGUUAAUGAUUUGGCUUGCACUCCGUAGCCUGGCACAGGCAGACGCAUCCCACGUGUC